GAGCGGCGAACGGGUGAGUAACACGUGAGUAACCUGCCCUCAACUUCGGGAUAAGCCUGGGAAACCGGGUCUAAUACCGGAUACGACCUGGUGUGGCAUCGCAUCGGGUGGAAAGAUUUUUUGGUUGGGGAUGGGCUCGCGGCCUAUCAGCUUGUUGGUGGGGUAGUGGCCUACCAAGGCGACGACGGGUAGCCGGCCUGAGAGGGCGACCGGCCACACUGGGACUGAGACACGGCCCAGACUCCUACGGGAGGCAGCAGUGGGGAAUAUUGCGCAAUGGGCGGAAGCCUGACGCAGCGACGCCGCGUGGGGGAUGACGGCCUUCGGGUUGUAAACCUCUUUCAGCAGGGACGAAGUUGACGUGUACCUGUAGAAGAAGCGCCGGCUAACUACGUGCCAGCAGCCGCGGUAAUACGUAGGGCGCGAGCGUUGUCCGGAAUUAUUGGGCGUAAAGAGCUCGUAGGUGGCUGGUCGCGUCUGCCGUGAAAGCCCAUGGCUUAACUGUGGGUCUGCGGUGGAUACGGGCCGGCUAGAGGUAGGUAGGGGCAAGCGGAAUUCCU
RNAcentral lists this ribosomal RNA (560 nucleotides) under Herbidospora sp. 319G05. RNAcentral describes it as "bacterial SSU rRNA". It matches the Rfam family "Bacterial small subunit ribosomal RNA", at positions 93 to 671 of the family's 1533-position model. The record is from RNAcentral. Lineage: Bacteria; Bacillati; Actinomycetota; Actinomycetes; Streptosporangiales; Streptosporangiaceae.